This 440-nucleotide ribosomal RNA is filed under the name uncultured bacterium. RNAcentral describes it as "partial 16S ribosomal RNA". It matches the Rfam family "Bacterial small subunit ribosomal RNA", at positions 338 to 795 of the family's 1533-position model. The record is from RNAcentral.
CCUACGGGAGGCAGCAGUGGGGAAUAUUGCACAAUGGGGGAAACCCUGAUGCAGCGACGCCGCGUGAAGGAAGAAGUAUUUCGGUAUGUAAACUCCUAUCAGCAGGGAAGAAAAUGACGGUAUCUGACUAAGAAGCCCCGGCUAACUACGUGCCAGCAGCCGCGGUAAUACGUAGGGGGCAAGCGUUAUCCGGAUUGACUGGGCGUAAAGGGAGCGUAGGCGGGUCAGCAAGUCAGAAGUGAAAGCCCAGGGCUGAACCCCGGGACUGCUUUUGAAACUGUUGUACUAGAUUGCGGGAGAGGUAGGUGGAAUUCCUGGUGUAGGGGUAAAAUGCGUAGAGAUUAAGAGGAACACCAGUGGCGAAGGCGACUUGCUGGACUAUAAAUGACGCUGAGGCUCGAAAGCGUGGGGAGCAAACAGGAUUAGAUACCCCAGUAGUC